Molecule: non-coding RNA, 246 nt
Organism: Lonchura striata (white-rumped munia)
Lineage: Eukaryota; Metazoa; Chordata; Aves; Passeriformes; Estrildidae
Source: RefSeq, a predicted model, not a curated record
UUGGAUCUAAAAUUUUGGUCUCCAGCUCGGCCUGGAUCUCCAAUCUUUCCUUCACAACCUGGUGGCCCUCUGCCUCCUGCAAGUCCUUUAUCUCCUGCAAAAGGAAUUAAAUGGCAGUACAGAUGCUUUGUUUUACAAAAGGAUCAAAAAGAGUAUUUUACCUUUUGGACCUGGGUUCCCAGGAAACCCAAGCCCUGGAAAACCUGUGUCACCUGUUGGUCCUGAAUGUCCUGGAUCACCUGGCUG